GCUUAGAGUUUGAUCCUGGCUCAGGAUGAACGCUGGCGGCGUGCCUAAUACAUGCAAGUCGAACGGGAAUCCCUGACUUCGGUUAGGGAGGAGAGUGGCGCACGGGUGAGUAACACGUAGCUGACCUACCCUUCGCAGGGGGAUAACUUGCCGAAAGGCGAGCUAAUACCGCGUAGACUCUCAGGGGUUAGAGGCCUUGAGAGGAAAGCGAUGGCAGCGGCGAAGGCAGGGGCUGCGGCCCAUCAGCUAGUUGGUGAGGUAACGGCUCACCAAGGCGGUGACGGGUAGGGGGCCUGAGAGGGUGACCCCCCACACUGGGACUGAGACACGGCCCAGACUCCUACGGGAGGCAGCAGUAAGGAAUAUUGCCCAAUGGGUGCCAACCUGAGGCAGCAACGCCGCGUGGAGGAGGAAGGGUUUCGGCUCGUAAACUCCUUUUCUGAGGGAAGAGGAAGGACGGUACCUCAGGAAGAAGUCUCGGCUAACUACGUGCCAGCAGCCGCGGUAAAACGUAGGAGGCGAGCGUUAUCCGGAUUUACUGGGCGUAAAGCGCGCGCAGGCGGUGAUGCCAGUCAGGCGUGAAAGCUCCCGGCUCAACUGGGAGAGGACGUCUGAACUGCAUGACUCGAGAGAGGUAGAGGCUUACGGAAUUCCGGGUGGAGUGGUGAAAUGCGUAGAGAUCCGGAGGAAGACCAGUGGCGAAGGCGGUAAGCUGGACCUGCUCUGACGCUCAGGCGCGAAAGCAUGGGGAGCGAACGGGAUUAGAAACCCCGGUAGUCCAUGCCGUAAACGAUGCAGACUAAGUGUCG
Molecule: ribosomal RNA, 809 nt
Filed under: uncultured bacterium
Lineage: Bacteria
Description: bacterial SSU rRNA
Rfam family: Bacterial small subunit ribosomal RNA
Source: RNAcentral